UUGCCUCGUGCCAUCGCAGGCUACCCAGAAGAGGUGGAUUGCAUCCGAACCACGCUCCGGCUGCUGCACCAUGGAUCCCUACAAGCUGCUCAGGGUCUCCCUCAAUCCCGACGGCUCCCUCACUCGAUCCGAUCUCAUCCCUCUCUUGCCCCCCUCCGAUCCCGCAGUCCUCUGUCAGGACCUCCCUCUCAAUCCCGCCCGCGGCACCACCUUCCGCCUCUUCCUCCCCCGCCAACCCCCUCCUGCUCCCAAGCUCCCCCUCAUCCUUUACUUCCACGGCGGCGGAUUCAUCCUCUUCCGUGCCGCCUCCGGACCCAUCCACGCUGCCUGCGCUCGCCUGGCUGCCUCCCUCCCUGCCAUUGUACUUUCCGUCGACUACCGCUUGGCCCCCGAGCACCGCCUCCCUGCCGCCUACGACGAUGCCCUCGACGCCUUCCUCUGGCUCCGCUACCAAGCGGCGGAUGGCCGGGGCGACCUCCCCUUCCGCUAUUGCGCUGACUUCUCCCGUUGCUUCCUCAUGGGCACCAGCGCCGGUGGCAACAUCGCCUUCUACGCCGCCGUCCGUGCGGCGGCAUUGACGGACAGCUUGCAUCCGGUAAAGAUAGCGGGGUUGGUGUUGGACCAGCCCUACUUCGGGGGAGUGGAGCGGACGGAGUCGGAGGAGAGGGCGAAGGAGGACAAGAUCAUACCUUUGGUGGCGAACGACCUGAUGUGGGAGCUGGCACUGCCGGAGGGCGCGAACAGGGACCACGAGUACUGCAACCCGAUGGCGAACGAGGCGAAGCUUCUGGCGGCGGUCGGGAACUUGCCGCGGUGCCUGGUGAGGGGCCACAUUGGAGAUCCGCUGUAUGAUAGACAGAGGGAAUUCGCGGGGAUGUUGGAGAGGAGAGGGGUGAGUGUGGUGGCGAGGAUGGAGUCGGAAGGGCUUCACGGGAUGGAGAUGUUUGAUGCCAGCAAGGAAGAGGAGUUGGUGGCAGAUGUUAGAAGAUUCCUCUACUUUGAAGAUGGUGGAGGAUCUGCUGGUGUUGGCUUGCAGAGGCUCUGAGCAUCAUUUGGCUUUUGAGAUUGCCUCUUCACCAGACUGGAAUAUGGUUGUUGUAUCCAGAUUUCGAUUGAAGUUUUUCAUGCAAUUCAACUUUUUGUGAAUUAUUCGGGACUCCAAGUUAUCUCGGCACUGCUCCCCAUCAGAUUAGGUUGAAGCCUCAUGAGGACCUAUUCAUAUCUAACGCAUAACAUGAACUGAGUGACACGUAGCUAUGUGCUUGUACUGAUAUUGCCCAAAGUUAAAUGAAUACAUGUGGUUGUGCAACGUCUAAAAGCUUGUAAAAAACGUUUGUGGUGUGACAACACUAUGAUAAGAGCGUGUUUGUUGGCCUUCUUGGUUGUGAUGCUAAGAGGAUAAAUGAGGUCUACCUCAAAUUAGAUUUCAACUGUUUUAGUCGUCGAAGGAUUUCAUGGAAUAGAAUUCUAGAUUAUGAAACAUUAAGAAUA
Musa acuminata AAA Group (dessert banana) is the source of this 1491-nucleotide RNA transcript. It is a transcript of the gene named probable carboxylesterase 8, with no coding region annotated. The transcript has 3 exons. The record is from RefSeq and is a predicted model, not a curated record. NCBI's taxonomy places the organism in Eukaryota, Viridiplantae, Streptophyta, Magnoliopsida, Zingiberales, Musaceae.